RNAcentral lists this ribosomal RNA (328 nucleotides) under uncultured eukaryote. Its description in RNAcentral is "partial 18S ribosomal RNA". It matches the Rfam family "Eukaryotic small subunit ribosomal RNA", at positions 1470 to 1796 of the family's 1831-position model. The record is from RNAcentral.
CCCUUAGAUGUCCUGGGCCGCACGCGCGCUACACUGAUGCAUGCAACGAGUUUAUAACCUUGGCCUGAAAGGUCUGGGUAAUCUUUUGAACGUGCAUCGUGAUAGGGAUAGAUUAUUGCAAUUGUUAAUCUUGAACGAGGAAUUCCUAGUAAACGCGAGUCAUCAGCUCGCAUUGAUUACGUCCCUGCCCUUUGUACACACCGCCCGUCGCACCUACCGAUUGAAUGGUUCGGUGAAGAUCUCGGACUUCGAUAUUUAUUCUUUAUUGAGUUUAUAUUGUGGGAAGUUAUCUAAAUCUCAUCAUUUAGAGGAAGGUGAAGUCGUAACA